CCUACGGGGGGCAGCAGUGGGGAAUAUUGGACAAUGGGGGCAACCCUGAUCCAGCCAUGCCGCGUGUGUGAAGAAGGCCCUCGGGUUGUAAAGCACUUUCAGUGAGGAAGAACGCCUGGUGGUUAAUACCCAUCAGGAAAGACAUCACUCACAGAAGAAGCACCGGCUAACUCCGUGCCAGCAGCCGCGGUAAUACGGAGGGUGCGAGCGUUAAUCGGAAUUACUGGGCGUAAAGCGCGCGUAGGUGGCUUGAUAAGCCGGUUGUGAAAGCCCCGGGCUCAACCUGGGAACGGCAUCCGGAACUGUCAAGCUAGAGUGCAGGAGAGGAAGGUAGGAUUCCCGGUGUAGCGGUGAAAUGCGUAGCGAUCGGGAGGAAUACCAGUGGCGAAGGCGGCCUUCUGGACUGACACUGACACUGAGGUGCGAAAGCGUGGGUAGCAAACAGGAUUAGAUACCCUAGUAGUC
This 465-nucleotide ribosomal RNA is filed under the name Vreelandella stevensii. RNAcentral describes it as "partial 16S ribosomal RNA". It matches the Rfam family "Bacterial small subunit ribosomal RNA", at positions 338 to 795 of the family's 1533-position model. The record is from RNAcentral. Lineage: Bacteria; Pseudomonadati; Pseudomonadota; Gammaproteobacteria; Oceanospirillales; Halomonadaceae.